AAUCUUCCUCAAUGGACGAAAGUCUGACGGAGCAACGCCGCGUGAGUGAUGAAGGUUUNCGGUACNUNAAACUCUGUCCUCAGGGNCAAAACAAAUGACGGUACCUGAGGAGGAAGCCCCGGCUAACUACGUGUCAGCAGCCGCGGUAAUACGUAGGGGGCGAGCGUUGUCCGAAAUUAUUGGGCGUAAAGGGUGCGUAGGCGGUCCUUUAAGUCAGAUGUGAAAGACCACAACUUAACUGUGGGAUUGCAUUUGAAACUGGGGGACUUGAGCAUCGGAGAGGGUAGUGGAAUUCCCGGCGUAGCGGUGAAAUGCGUAGAUAUCGGGAGGAACACCAGUGGCGAAGGCGACUACCUGGACGAAAACUGACGCUGAGGCACGAAAGCUAGGGUAGCAAACAG
RNAcentral lists this ribosomal RNA (401 nucleotides) under uncultured bacterium. RNAcentral's name for it is "partial 16S ribosomal RNA". It matches the Rfam family "Bacterial small subunit ribosomal RNA", at positions 360 to 775 of the family's 1533-position model. The record is from RNAcentral.